GUGAAACUGCGAAUGGGCUCAUUAAAUCAGUUAUCGUUUAUUUGAUAUUACCUUACUACAUGGAUAACCGUGGUAAUUCUAGAGCUAAUACAUGCUUAAAAGUCCCGACUCACGAAGGGAUGUAUUUAUUAGAUAAAAAACCAAUGUCUUCGGACUCCUUGGUGAUUCAUAAUAACUUUUCGAAUCGCAUGGCCUUGUGCCGGCGAUGGUUCAUUCAAAUUUCUGCCCUAUCAA
This 234-nucleotide ribosomal RNA is filed under the name uncultured Chalazion. RNAcentral's name for it is "partial 18S ribosomal RNA". It matches the Rfam family "Eukaryotic small subunit ribosomal RNA", at positions 81 to 318 of the family's 1831-position model. The record is from RNAcentral. Lineage: Eukaryota; Fungi; Ascomycota; Pezizomycetes; Pezizales; Pyronemataceae.